AAGUCGUAACAAGGUUUCCGUAGGUGAACCUGCGGAAGGAUCAUUAUUGAAUAAACCUGAUGUGGUUGUUGCUGGCUCUCUCGGGAGCAUGUGCACGCCCGUCAUCUUUAUAUCUCCACCUGUGCACCUUUUGUAGACCUGGGGAUUGAGCAAUCAAUCGUUGGGCCUACGUUUAUCAUAUACCCCAUAGUAUGUAUUAGAAUGUCUCAAUGGGCUUCGUGCCUAUAAACACUAUACAACUUUCAGCAACGGAUCUCUUGGCUCUC
RNAcentral lists this unclassified non-coding RNA (266 nucleotides) under Deconica coprophila. RNAcentral's name for it is "partial internal transcribed spacer region". The stretch from base 1 to 46 matches the Rfam family "Eukaryotic small subunit ribosomal RNA", at positions 1786 to 1831 of the family's 1831-position model. RNAcentral also lists the same sequence under 2 other names. Lineage: Eukaryota; Fungi; Basidiomycota; Agaricomycetes; Agaricales; Kuehneromycetaceae. The record is from RNAcentral.